RNAcentral lists this ribosomal RNA (433 nucleotides) under uncultured bacterium. Its description in RNAcentral is "partial 16S ribosomal RNA". It matches the Rfam family "Bacterial small subunit ribosomal RNA", at positions 29 to 507 of the family's 1533-position model. The record is from RNAcentral.
AACGAACGCUGGCGGCAUGCCUAACACAUGCAAGUCGAACGAGACCUUCGGGUCUAGUGGCGCACGUGUGCGUACCGCGUGGUAACCUGCCCUUAGGUUCGGAAUAACUCCCCGAAAGGGGUGCUAAUACCGGUUAAUGUCUUCGGACCAAAGAUUUAUCGCCUUUGGAUGGGCCCGCGUUGGAUUAGCUAGUUGGUAGGGUAAAAGCCUACCAAGGCGACGAUCCAUAGCUGGUCUGAGAGGAUGCUCAGCCACACUGGGACUGAGACACGGCCCAGACUCCUACGGGAAGCAGCAGUGGGGAAUAUUGGACAAGGGGCGAAAGCCUGAUCCAGCAAUGCCGCGUGAGUGAUGAAGGCCUUAGGGUUGUAAAGCUCUUUUACCCGGGAUGAUAAUGACAGUACCGGGAGAAUAAGCUCCGGCUAACUCCGUG